Non-coding RNA from Caenorhabditis elegans, 21 nucleotides. NCBI's taxonomy places the organism in Eukaryota, Metazoa, Nematoda, Chromadorea, Rhabditida, Rhabditidae. The record is from Ensembl.
UAGUAUUAGUAUCUAAGGGCU